CACGUAGGGCGCAAGCGUUGUCCGGAUUUAUUGGGCGUAAAGAGCGUGUAGGCGGUUAGGUAGGUCCGUUGUGAAAACUCGAGGCUCAACCUCGAGACGCCGAUGGAAACCAUCUGACUAGAGUCCGGAAGAGGAGAGUGGAAUUCCGGGUGUAGCGGUGGAAUGCGUAGAGAUCGGAAAGAACACCAACGGCGAAAGCACUCUGCUGGGCCGACACUGACACUGAGAGACGAAAGCUAGGGGAGCGAAUGGG
This 253-nucleotide ribosomal RNA is filed under the name uncultured bacterium. RNAcentral describes it as "partial 16S ribosomal RNA". It matches the Rfam family "Bacterial small subunit ribosomal RNA", at positions 524 to 776 of the family's 1533-position model. The record is from RNAcentral.